UACGGAGGGUGCGAGCGUUGUUCGGAAUUACUGGGCGUAAAGGGCGCGUAGGCGGCCUGUUAAGUCGGACGUGAAAUCCCUCGGCUCAACCGGGGAACUGCGUCCGAAACUGGCGGGCUUGAAUUCGGGAGAGGGAUGUGGAAUUCCAGGUGUAGCGGUGAAAUGCGUAGAUAUCUGGAGGAACACCGGUGGCGAAGGCGGCAUCCUGGACCGACAUUGACGCUGAGGCGCGAAAGCCAGGGGAGCAAACGGG
Molecule: ribosomal RNA, 253 nt
Filed under: uncultured bacterium
Lineage: Bacteria
Description: partial 16S ribosomal RNA
Rfam family: Bacterial small subunit ribosomal RNA
Source: RNAcentral